Molecule: ribosomal RNA, 467 nt
Filed under: uncultured bacterium
Lineage: Bacteria
Description: partial 16S ribosomal RNA
Rfam family: Bacterial small subunit ribosomal RNA
Source: RNAcentral
ACGAACGCUGGCGGCGUGCUUAACACAUGCAAGUCGAACGGAAAGGCCCUGCUUUUGUGGGGUGCUCGAGUGGCGAACGGGUGAGUAACACGUGAGUAACCUGCCCUUGACUUUGGGAUAACUUCAGGAAACUGGGGCUAAUACCGGAUAGGAUCUCCUGCUGCAUGGUGGGGGUUGGUAAGUUUCGGCGGUUGGGGAUGGACUCGCGGCUUAUCAGCUUGUUGGUGGGGUAGUGGCUUACCAAGGCUUUGACGGGUAGCCGGCCUGGGAGGGUGACCGGCCACAUUGGGACUGAGAUACGGCCCAGACGCCUACGGGAGGCAGCAGUGGGGAAUAUUGCACAAUGGGCGGAAGCCUGAUGCAGCAACGCCGCGUGCGGGAUGACGGCCUUCGGGUUGUAAACCGCUUUCGCCUGUGACGAAGCGUGAGUGACGGUAAUGGGUAAAGAAGCACCGGCUAACUACGUG